AGCCCCUUGUAGCUCAAAGAAUAGAGCGCUUCCCUACCAAGGUUGAGGUUACGGGUUCGAAUCCCGCCAAGGCUU
RNAcentral lists this transfer RNA (75 nucleotides) under Arthrobacter pigmenti. RNAcentral describes it as "tRNA-Gly". It matches the Rfam family "tRNA". Rfam says of the family: Transfer RNA (tRNA) molecules are approximately 80 nucleotides in length. Their secondary structure includes four short double-helical elements and three loops (D, anti-codon, and T loops). Further hydrogen bonds mediate the characteristic L-shaped molecular structure. tRNAs have two regions of fundamental functional importance: the anti-codon, which is responsible for specific mRNA codon recognition, and the 3' end, to which the tRNAs corresponding amino acid is attached (by aminoacyl-tRNA synthetases). tRNAs cope with the degeneracy of the genetic code in two manners: having more than one tRNA (with a specific anti-codon) for a particular amino acid; and 'wobble' base-pairing, i.e. permitting non-standard base-pairing at the 3rd anti-codon position. Lineage: Bacteria; Bacillati; Actinomycetota; Actinomycetes; Micrococcales; Micrococcaceae. The record is from RNAcentral.